RNAcentral lists this ribosomal RNA (942 nucleotides) under Prorocentrum lima. RNAcentral's name for it is "partial large subunit ribosomal RNA". It matches the Rfam family "Eukaryotic large subunit ribosomal RNA", at positions 40 to 947 of the family's 3401-position model. The record is from RNAcentral. Lineage: Eukaryota; Dinophyceae; Prorocentrales; Prorocentraceae.
AUAUUAGUAGGCGGUGGAAGAUAAUCCAAAAGGGAUUCCUUCAGUAAUGGCGAAUGAACGGGGAAAAGCUCAGCAAAGAAAUCGAGGACUCCGGCCUUGAGUUGUGGACUUGAGAGGUAUCGCCAAUGGUGGCACAGGUGGGGGCCUCUUGGAAAAGGGCACCACAGAGGGUGUGAGUCCUGUUUGCCAUCUGUAGUCCGCUGUGUACGGCAUGCCUCCUCCGAGUCACGUUCCUUGGAAUUGGAGCGCGAAGGUGGUGGUGGCUUUCAUCUCAAGCUAAGUAUGGGUUCGAGACCGAUAGCAAACAAGUACCAUGAGGGAAAAUUGAAAAGAGCUUUGGAAAGAGAGUUAAAAGUGCCCGAACUUGCUGAUAGGGAAGCGAAGGGAGCUGACGUUGCUUGGUAACAUCUUCCGCGCAGGACUAGGAUGGGUUCUGAUUGCAAUGUGUGUUGUGUUUCUUGCCAUGCGUGUCAAUGCCAAGUAAUGAGUGGGGAGAGCUCCAGGGAUAAUGAUUGUUUCUGUCCCCGGGUAGACGAAUAUGUCUGGGUGCAUCCAUUUGUGGGCUGAAAAAUUGGUGGUUGGUUGCAGCUCCCUGCCUACGAGGCAAUUGGGGUGUAGCCCUGACACGCAGACGAGGACAAAGUGCUUCUGUUCGACCCGUCUUGAAACACGGACCAAGGAGUCUGACACUCAUGCAAGCUCGUUGGUGGGUAAACUUCUUUGCGUAAUUAAGGUGUCUGUUGUGAUUUGUGCACCAACGCCCGACCAAUCAAUUGAGAGAGGUUUGAGUGUGAGCAUUUCUGUCAGGACCCGAAAGAUGGUGAACUAUGCUUGAGAAGGGUAAAUUCAGGGGAAACUCUGAUUGAGGCUCGUAGCGAUACUGACGUGCAAAUCGUUCGUCAUACUUGGGUAUAGGGGCGAAAGACUAAUCGAACCAUCUAG